GCUUGUCUCAAAGAUUAAGCCAUGCAUGUCUAAGUAUAACUCUUUUACUUUGAAAACUGCGAACGGCUCAUUAUAUCAGUUAUAGUUUCUUUGAUAGUCCCUUACUACUUGGAUAACCGUGGUAAUUCUAGAGCUAAUACAUGCAAAGAACCCGACUUACGGAGGGUUGUAUUUAUUAGAUAAAAACCAAUGCCUCGUGCUUUUGGUGAGUCAUGAUAACUGCGCGGAUCGCAUGGCCUUGCGCCGGCGACGCUUCAUUCAAAUUUCUGCCCUAUCAACUUUCGAUGGUAAGAUAGAGGCUUACCAUGGUGUUAACGGGUAACGGGGAAUUGGGGUUCGAUUCCGGAGAGGGAGCCUGAGAAAUGGCUACCACUUCCAAGGAAGGCGCAG
Molecule: ribosomal RNA, 390 nt
Filed under: uncultured Rozellomycota
Lineage: Eukaryota; Fungi; Rozellomycota
Description: uncultured Cryptomycota partial small subunit ribosomal RNA
Rfam family: Eukaryotic small subunit ribosomal RNA
Source: RNAcentral